AUAAUUAUUUUCACACAAUUAAUUUAAUUCCUAAUUAAAUUUAUUCUUUGAAUAGUAAUAUAUACAAUUAUUUUACAUACAAUAAGUGCUUACACUUGCAUACAUUGUAGGGUUUAGUAUACAAACAAAAUAGAGUGAGUGAGUAAUCAGUAGUAAAUAAGAAGUCCACCGACAAUGAUCUAAUCACCAAAUAUGGCAACCUACGAGGUACGGAAAAUUCCUAUAAGCCAAGACGUUGUUACGUGUGCGAUAAAAUAUUCUGCUGUGUAGAUUGUUGUGAGGAGCACAUAAAGAAAAAACACAGUACCCGUCAUACUAUCACCGACUGUCCUCUGUGUCGCAGAGAGCCAUUAACAGUGCGUA
This 363-nucleotide unclassified non-coding RNA is filed under the name Cotesia glomerata. RNAcentral's name for it is "mitosis initiation protein fs(1)Ya, transcript variant X2". Lineage: Eukaryota; Metazoa; Arthropoda; Insecta; Hymenoptera; Braconidae. The record is from RNAcentral.